UAAAGGUGAUGUACAGAGGGAUUACAGUUAUAUAAGUCAGAUAGAGUACAUUCUUUUGGACAAUGUCACCUUAUUCCUUGCUCUCUUCCAAUUUUCUUUGUAUAGAUUUU
This is a long non-coding RNA of Dipodomys spectabilis (banner-tailed kangaroo rat), 110 nucleotides long. RefSeq lists it as uncharacterized. NCBI's taxonomy places the organism in Eukaryota, Metazoa, Chordata, Mammalia, Rodentia, Heteromyidae. The record is from RefSeq and is a predicted model, not a curated record. The transcript has 3 exons.